AUUGAACGCUGGCGGCAUGCUUUACACAUGCAAGUCGAACGGUAACAGGUUAAGCUGACGAGUGGCGAACGGGUGAGUAAUGCAUCGGAACGUGCCCGGUCGUGGGGGAUAACGCAGCGAAAGCUGCGCUAAUACCGCAUACGAUCUGAGGAUGAAAGCGGGGGACCGUAAGGCCUCGUGCGAUCGGAGCGGCCGAUGUCAGAUUAGGUAGUUGGUGGGGUGAAGGCUCACCAAGCCAACGAUCUGUAGCUGGUCUGAGAGGACGACCAGCCACACUGGGACUGAGACACGGCCCAGACUCCUACGGGAGGCAGCAGUGGGGAAUUUUGGACAAUGGGCGCAAGCCUGAUCCAGCCAUGCCGCGUGCGGGAAGAAGGCCUUCGGGUUGUAAACCGCUUUUGUCAGGGAAGAAAAGACUCCUGUUAAUACCGGGGGUUCAUGACGGUACCUGAAGAAUAAGCACCGGCUAACUACGUGCCAGCAGCCGCCGUAA
RNAcentral lists this ribosomal RNA (493 nucleotides) under uncultured bacterium. Its description in RNAcentral is "partial 16S ribosomal RNA". It matches the Rfam family "Bacterial small subunit ribosomal RNA", at positions 30 to 523 of the family's 1533-position model. The record is from RNAcentral.